Molecule: ribosomal RNA, 178 nt
Filed under: uncultured bacterium
Lineage: Bacteria
Description: partial 16S ribosomal RNA
Rfam family: Bacterial small subunit ribosomal RNA
Source: RNAcentral
AAAAAAUAUUGCACAAUGGGCGCAAGCCUGAUGCAGCCAUGCCGCGUGUAUGAAGAAGGCCUUCGGGUUGUAAAGUACUUUCAGCGGGGAGGAAGGGAGUAAAGUUAAUACCUUUGCUCAUUGACGUUACCCGCAGAAGAAGCACCGGCUAACUCCGUGCCAGCAGCCGCGGUAAUAA